RNAcentral lists this ribosomal RNA (209 nucleotides) under uncultured Thiobacillus sp. Its description in RNAcentral is "partial 16S ribosomal RNA". It matches the Rfam family "Bacterial small subunit ribosomal RNA", at positions 1174 to 1382 of the family's 1533-position model. Lineage: Bacteria; Pseudomonadati; Pseudomonadota; Betaproteobacteria; Nitrosomonadales; Thiobacillaceae. The record is from RNAcentral.
GGGGAGUGACGUCAAGUCCUCAUGGCCCUUAUGGGUAGGGCUUCACACGUCAUACAAUGGUCGGUACAGAGGGUUGCCAAGCCGCGAGGUGGAGCCAAUCCCACAAAGCCGAUCGUAGUCCGGAUUGUUCUCUGCAACUCGAGAGCAUGAAGUCGGAAUCGCUAGUAAUCGCAGGUCAGCAUACUGCGGUGAAUACGUUCCCGGGUCUU